RNAcentral lists this ribosomal RNA (498 nucleotides) under Erythrobacter sp. Ar-131. RNAcentral's name for it is "bacterial SSU rRNA". It matches the Rfam family "Bacterial small subunit ribosomal RNA", at positions 60 to 604 of the family's 1533-position model. Lineage: Bacteria; Pseudomonadati; Pseudomonadota; Alphaproteobacteria; Sphingomonadales; Erythrobacteraceae. The record is from RNAcentral.
AGUCGAACGAACCCUUCGGGGUUAGUGGCGCACGGGUGCGUAACGCGUGGGAACCUGCCUUUAGGUUCGGAAUAACAGUUAGAAAUGACUGCUAAUACCGGAUAAUGUCUUCGGACCAAAGAUUUAUCGCCUUUAGAUGGGCCCGCGUAGGAUUAGAUAGUUGGUGGGGUAAUGGCCUACCAAGUCGACGAUCCUUAGCUGGUCUGAGAGGAUGAUCAGCCACACUGGGACUGAGACACGGCCCAGACUCCUACGGGAGGCAGCAGUGGGGAAUAUUGGACAAUGGGCGAAAGCCUGAUCCAGCAAUGCCGCGUGAGUGAUGAAGGCCUUAGGGUUGUAAAGCUCUUUUACCAGGGAUGAUAAUGACAGUACCUGGAGAAUAAGCUCCGGCUAACUCCGUGCCAGCAGCCGCGGUAAUACGGAGGGAGCUAGCGUUGUUCGGAAUUACUGGGCGUAAAGCGCACGUAGGCGGCUUUCCAAGUCAGGGGUGAAAUCCCG